UCAAAAUUCAAAUUUAAGAUAUCGGGGUACUGCUACGAUACCGGGUAUUAACUUGAUCGCUGCUACGAUUCAAUAUCCGAUCAACUGAAACUAUCCAACAGGAUGUUUAAGUGUUAUCCUUUGUCAUUAAUCGUGAUUCCGACAGGAUGUUUGAGUGCCGCCCAAACUCGGGGUGGACUCUGUCAUUCGUUGUGAAUCCGAUGGAUGUUUAAGUGAUUUCAUUUUGUCAUUCGUCGUGAGGGUUUUAGUCUCGUGAAUUUAUCGUAAAUGCUGUUAUCAGGCUUAUCAUUAGACUAAACACUACCCCUUACACUUACAAUCAAAGUAGAUGCUAAUUCUCAAAACAAUCUGAAUCAUGAAGCUUGUCAAUUCAAUACUGCAUGUUUAUAAUGUGAGUCAUUCUCUUUUUAUCAACUGUUUUACUAUACUCCAAAUUAUUUUCAGAGUUAUAAUUACAGUGAUUAAGUUUAUGUAAUCACCAAAUUACAGCCGGUAUGUGGGGUAUUGUGCACAUUACUACUGUUGUUAUCACUUUAGGUGGGCGAACCUAAUUAGUGACAAAUACUGUGGGUAGUUGGUUUGAUAUUAGAAACAUUGUAAUCUCUCUUAAUACUGUAAAUUAUAACAAAUGUGUCGUUUUCAGUAAACUGAAUGAACUCACUCAGUAUUUUCCGCUGACAAAACCUUUUUAAAACGCGUUUCAGGUAAUUACAGUAGAUUGGAGUAAGAAUUGGAUCCGGCACUGAAGGACUUCAAGAAGUGGCUUAUUUUAUUAAUUAAAUCAACUUAAAAAAAAUAUUGUUUUUGGGUUUAUCCCGUAUUAAAAGCUACCUUUGUAAAACAUGGAAUUUAUUCCAUCUAUUUAAAUAAAAUCCGGUGU
RNAcentral lists this long non-coding RNA (880 nucleotides) under Helianthus annuus (common sunflower). RNAcentral describes it as "hypothetical non coding rna". Lineage: Eukaryota; Viridiplantae; Streptophyta; Magnoliopsida; Asterales; Asteraceae. The record is from RNAcentral.